UGCUUUCGCAGUGGUUCUCCCAGCACGCAGCUGGAGAUCUGAGAACGGGCAGACUGCCUCCUCAAGUGGGAGUGAAAGUGUAGCUCCUCACUGGGCCCUGUGACAUGGAGAGGGUGGUGGGUAGUGAAGCCUACUGGUGGCAAGCACCAGCCCCGACCACCUCAUUAAGUCUUAUUGCUGCUAGGUAAAACUCAAGGUUUAGCUCACCACUGAAUACCACUGAAGUGA
Molecule: long non-coding RNA, 228 nt
Filed under: Homo sapiens (human)
Lineage: Eukaryota; Metazoa; Chordata; Mammalia; Primates; Hominidae
Description: non-protein coding lnc-CNKSR2-1:1
Source: RNAcentral